Molecule: unclassified non-coding RNA, 348 nt
Filed under: soil metagenome
Description: partial contains 5.8S ribosomal RNA, internal transcribed spacer 2, and large subunit ribosomal RNA
Rfam family: 5.8S ribosomal RNA (bases 1-120)
Source: RNAcentral
GAUGAAGAACGUAGCGAAAUGCGAAAAGUAAUGUGGAUUGCAGAAUUCAGUGAACCAUCGAAUCUUUGAACGCACAUUGCGCCCGCUGGAACUCCGGCGGGCACGCCUGUCCGAGCGUCAUUUCAACCCUCAGGCCCCCCUUCGCGGGCGGGCCUGGUGUUGGGGCCCGGCCGCUACCCUGCGGCCGUCCCCUAAAUCCAGUGGCGGCCUCGCCGUGAUCCCUUGCGUAGUAAUGCACCUCGCACCGGAGAGCGCCGUGGCCACGCCGUAAAACCCCCAAUUUUCAAUGGUUGACCUCGGAUCAGGUGGGAAUACCCGCUGAACUUAAGCAUAUCAAUAAGCGGAGGA